GGAUUAGGCAUGCAAGUCGCACGAGAAAGGCUUCUUCGGAAGCCGAGUAAAGUGGCGAACGGGUGAGUAAUGCAUAGACAACUCGCCCUUGAGAUGGGGACAACGCCUCGAAAGGGGUGCUAAUACCCAAUGCCGCCUUGGGCCUGCGGGUCCAGGGUGAAAGGAGGCCUCUGAUUCAAGCUUCCGCUCAAGGAGAGGUUUAUGUCCUAUUAGCUAGUUGGCGGGGUAACGGCCCACCAAGGCUGCGAUGGGUAGCCGACCUGAGAGGGUGACCGGCCACAUUGGGACUGAGACACUGCCCAGACUCCUACGGGAGGCUGCAGUCGAGAAUCUUCCGCAAUGCGCGCAAGCGUGACGGAGCGACGCCGCGUGGGUGAUGAAGGCCUUCGGGUUGUAAAACCCUGUCAGCUACUACGAAACACGGGCGAUGAACAAUCGUCCCGUCUGACUUAAGUAGCAGAGGAAGCACCGGCUAACUACGUGCCAGCAGCCGCGGUAAUACGUAGGGUGCGAACGUUGUUCGGAAUCACUGGGCAUAAAGGGCGCGUAGGCGGUCUGAUAAGUCAGGUGUGAAAUCCCUCGGCCUAACCGAGGAACUGCAUUUGAUACUGUCGGGCUAGAGUACAGGAGGGGAGAGUGGAAUUCCUGGUGGAGCGGUGAAAUGCGUAGAUAUCAGGAGGAACGCCGGCGGCGAAAGCGACUCUCUGGCCUGUUACUGACGCCGAGGCGCGAAAGCUAGGGGAGCAAACGGGAUUAGAUACCCCGGUAGUCCUAGCCCUAAACGAUGGGCACUAAGUAGAGGGGUUUU
Molecule: ribosomal RNA, 808 nt
Filed under: uncultured Planctomycetota bacterium
Lineage: Bacteria; Pseudomonadati; Planctomycetota
Description: bacterial SSU rRNA
Rfam family: Bacterial small subunit ribosomal RNA
Source: RNAcentral